RNAcentral lists this transfer RNA (77 nucleotides) under Arthrobacter sp. NtRootA1. RNAcentral describes it as "tRNA-Pyl". The record is from RNAcentral. Lineage: Bacteria; Bacillati; Actinomycetota; Actinomycetes; Micrococcales; Micrococcaceae.
AGAAUUCCAGGCCAAGGGUUCUAGUCCUAGGUUCUAGUCCUAGGUUCUAGUCCAAGGUUCUAGUCCUAGGAGUUCUA